GGCGCCAUCGUCUAGAGGCCUAGGACACAAGCUUUUCAAGCUUGUUACACGGGUUCGAAUCCCGUUGGCGCUA
RNAcentral lists this transfer RNA (73 nucleotides) under Candidatus Azambacteria bacterium RIFCSPHIGHO2_02_FULL_45_18. Its description in RNAcentral is "tRNA-Glu". It matches the Rfam family "tRNA". Rfam says of the family: Transfer RNA (tRNA) molecules are approximately 80 nucleotides in length. Their secondary structure includes four short double-helical elements and three loops (D, anti-codon, and T loops). Further hydrogen bonds mediate the characteristic L-shaped molecular structure. tRNAs have two regions of fundamental functional importance: the anti-codon, which is responsible for specific mRNA codon recognition, and the 3' end, to which the tRNAs corresponding amino acid is attached (by aminoacyl-tRNA synthetases). tRNAs cope with the degeneracy of the genetic code in two manners: having more than one tRNA (with a specific anti-codon) for a particular amino acid; and 'wobble' base-pairing, i.e. permitting non-standard base-pairing at the 3rd anti-codon position. The record is from RNAcentral. Lineage: Bacteria; Candidatus Azamiibacteriota. RNAcentral also lists the same sequence under 3 other names.